AUCAAGAAGAACUACGAGGUCACCAUCAAAGACCUGCAAGCCAAGAUGGAGGAGGCCGAGCAGCUGGCUCUGAAAGGCGGCAAGCGAACGAUCAUGAAGCUGGAGGCCAGGAUCAAGGAACUAGAGACAGAGCUGGAUGGGGAACAGAAACAGCACGUGGAGACAGUCAAGACACUGUGUAAGAAUGAGCGUCGCCUCAAAGAGCUGGUCUUCCAGACAGAGGAGGACCACAAGACCAAUCAGCGCAUGCAGGCGCUGGUGGAGAAGCUUCAGAACAAGCUGAAGGUCUACAAGAGGCAGAUUGAGGAGGCGGAGGACCAGGCCAACCAGACCUUGGCUCGAUACAGGAAGACGG
This 355-nucleotide long non-coding RNA is filed under the name Homo sapiens (human). Its description in RNAcentral is "non-protein coding lnc-ARPC1A-5:1". Lineage: Eukaryota; Metazoa; Chordata; Mammalia; Primates; Hominidae. The record is from RNAcentral.